CCCUUAGAUGUCCUGGGCAGCACGCGUGCUACAAUGAUGCAUUCAACGAGUCUUGCCUUAACCGAAAGGUUCGGGUAAACUUUUGAAAUUGCAUCUUGUCGGGGCUUGAUCAUUGUAAUUUUUGACCACAAACAAGGAAUUCCUUGUAAAUGUGAGUCAUCAACUUGCAUUGAAUACGUCCCUGCCCUUUGUACACACCGCCCGUCGCUUCUACCGAUGAAUGAUCCGGUGAACACUCUGGACUUGUUGUCUGUCGGAGCAAUCCAAAGACGAUAGGGAAGUUGUGUAAACCUUAUCAUUUAGAGGAAGAAGAAGUCGUAACA
This 323-nucleotide ribosomal RNA is filed under the name uncultured eukaryote. Its description in RNAcentral is "partial 18S ribosomal RNA". It matches the Rfam family "Eukaryotic small subunit ribosomal RNA", at positions 1470 to 1796 of the family's 1831-position model. The record is from RNAcentral.